AUAUUGAUGAGAGCUGCUCUUAGUACGAGAGGACCGGAGUGGACGUACCGCUGGUGUUCCAGUUGUUCCGCCAGGAGCAUAGCUGGGUAGCUAAGUACGGAAAGGAUAACCGCUGAAAGCAUCUAAGUGGGAAGCCUCCUCAGAGAUAAGUAUUCCCUUGAAAUUCCUUGUAGACGACGAGGUUGAUAGGAUGGAAGUGUACGUGUAGCAAUACAUUUAGCUGACCAUUACUAAUAAAUUGAUAGGUUUAAAAG
RNAcentral lists this ribosomal RNA (254 nucleotides) under Mycoplasmopsis gallopavonis. Its description in RNAcentral is "Mycoplasma gallopavonis partial 23S ribosomal RNA". It matches the Rfam family "Bacterial large subunit ribosomal RNA", at positions 2659 to 2925 of the family's 2925-position model. Lineage: Bacteria; Bacillati; Mycoplasmatota; Mycoplasmoidales; Metamycoplasmataceae. The record is from RNAcentral.